UUCAUAAUAACUUUUCGAACCGCAUGGCUUUGUCGUGGCCGAUGUUCAUUCAAAUUUCUACCCUAUCAACUUUCUGAUGGUAGGAUAGAGGCCUACCAUGGUUUUAACGGGUAACGGGAAUUAGAGGUUCGAUUCCGGAGGAGGGAGCCUGAGAAACGGCUACCACUAUCCAAGGAAGGCAGCAGGCGCGCAAAAUUACCCAAUCCCGAUACGGGGAGGUAGUGACAAUCAAAUAAACAAUACAGGGCUUUCUAGUCUUGUAAUUGGAAUGAGUACAAUUUAAAUCCCUUAACGAGGAACAAUUGGAGGGCAAGUCUGGUGCCAGCAGCCGGGGUAAUUCCAGCUCCAAUUAGCGUAUAUUAAAGUUUGUUGCAGUUAAAAAGCUCGUAGUUGAACCUUGGGCCUGGGU
Molecule: ribosomal RNA, 409 nt
Filed under: uncultured fungus
Lineage: Eukaryota; Fungi
Description: SSU rRNA
Rfam family: Eukaryotic small subunit ribosomal RNA
Source: RNAcentral